RNAcentral lists this ribosomal RNA (779 nucleotides) under Eumenes fraternus. RNAcentral's name for it is "eukaryotic LSU rRNA". It matches the Rfam family "Eukaryotic large subunit ribosomal RNA", at positions 402 to 938 of the family's 3401-position model. The record is from RNAcentral. Lineage: Eukaryota; Metazoa; Arthropoda; Insecta; Hymenoptera; Vespidae.
AAACCGUUCAGGGGUAAACCUGAGAAACCCGAAAGAUCGACUGGGGAGAUUCAGCGUCAGCGGCGCUGGCUCGACAUAGUGUGCGAUGUCGUGGACUUCGGUCUCGAUGUCUCUUAUCGCUAUGCCGCGUCCGGUGUCGUCGUCGUGCACUUCUCCUCUAGUAGAACGUCGCGACCCGUUGGGUGCCGGUCUACGGCCCGAGGUGCAGCCUGUCACGUCGCUUCGGCGUAUGCGACAGACCCUCGGUCGCCCGGCCGGCUGCUCGGCGGUAGAACGCACGGUAUCUGGCCGCAAUUUUCGAAAUGCGUCGGGCCCACCGCAAGCGAGGUCAGUGUCCCGGUCCUACGGACUCUAGCGCCGUAACCGGGCCUGGCCAGCUGUUGGCAGGUGGAGUCCUCAGACGGGCAAAUCAUAAUGGUACCGGUCGGCGACGCUACUGCUUUGGGUACUCUCAGGACCCGUCUUGAAACACGGACCAAGGAGUCUAACAUGUGCGCGAGUCAUUGGGAUUGUAAAACCUAAAGGCGCAAUGAAAGUGAAGGUCGGCUUCGCGUCGACCGAGGGAGGAUGGGCCGCGUUAUGGCGCGGCUCCGCACUCCCGGGGCGUCUCGUUCUCAUUGCGAGAAGAGGCGCACCCAGAGCGUACACGUUGGGACCCGAAAGAUGGUGAACUAUGCCUGGUCAGGACGAAGUCAGGGGAAACCCUGAUGGAGGUCCGUAGCGAUUCUGACGUGCAAAUCGAUCGUCGGAACUGGGUAUAGGGGCGAAAGACUAAUCGA